RNAcentral lists this ribosomal RNA (253 nucleotides) under uncultured bacterium. RNAcentral's name for it is "partial 16S ribosomal RNA". It matches the Rfam family "Bacterial small subunit ribosomal RNA", at positions 524 to 776 of the family's 1533-position model. The record is from RNAcentral.
UACGUAGGGUGCGAGCGUUAAUCGGAAUUACUGGGCGUAAAGCGUGCGCAGGCGGUUUUGUAAGCCAGAUGUGAAAGCCCGGGGCUCAACCCCGGGAGGCGGGCGGAUACUGUCGGGCUAGAGUCCGGAAGAGGCGAGUGGAAUUCCUGGUGUAGCGGUGAAAUGCGCAGAUAUCAGGAGGAACACCAAUGGCGAAGGCAGCACUCUGGGACGUGACUGACGCUGAGACGCGAAAGCGUGGGGAGCAAACAGG